Molecule: transfer RNA, 73 nt
Filed under: Acropora cervicornis
Lineage: Eukaryota; Metazoa; Cnidaria; Anthozoa; Scleractinia; Acroporidae
Description: tRNA-Val
Source: RNAcentral
GGCUUCAUAGCUCAGUUGGUACAACAUUGCAUCCACAUUGCAGAGGUCUUGGGCUUCAGUCCCUUUGAAGUUG